ACAUAAACACGGAGUAUACUGCCGUGGAUCGUUCAUUCCUUGGCAAAGACUGGAGCACGGUUCGGUUGAAAAUUUUGCUGAUUAUACGACACUAUGAAGUUGUCUACGUGUAUGCUGAUCGUUGCCCUACUUGUUGUGACAACCAUUAUUGACAACUCAGAGACCCGGAAGUUAAGCAGGCGAUCGGCUAGGAAGAGGGCCCUAAGCGAAGAAGAGCGAAAGGACAUUGCUGAGUUGGCCAAGCCGCUCUUGCAGGUAAUUGCAGAGACGAAUGAGGAGCCAGCUGCAGGGGAGCUUCACGAGAUGAAACUCGGGGGCCGAAAUGUUUACCUCAAGAGCUAGCUGAGAAAUACAGUGUUUGCAGGACAUCAUAACGCAGAACAAUUUUUGUUUUCAAUAUUUUCAAAACAAAGGGAAUGAAUUGAUGAGUAUUUUUUAAUGUUGACGGAGAAAUGUAUGGUUAAAUUGGAUUUGAUAAUGACUUAUGGCACUCACUCACUUCUAUACUUUUUGUAUUACAUUGAAGGUACUAAUGGUAAUGUUGUAAUAAAUAGAAACACGCCAAUGUUUCGUUUUCCUUUUUUUCUUAGUUUGAGAAAUCCACUGGUCCACAAUUAUCUAGCAUGAAUAUGUAAAUUAUCUCAAUAUGUGUCACCAUAACAUGUUUCAAUUAAAACAAAAUGUAGAAUACUAACAAAAAAAAUGUAUGGUUAUAUUCCGCACCAGAAGCAAGUAUUAUUUUCUAAUACAUGGUAUAUUUGGGAUACAUUCACAA
This is a long non-coding RNA of Branchiostoma floridae (Florida lancelet), 775 nucleotides long. RefSeq lists it as uncharacterized. The record is from RefSeq and is a predicted model, not a curated record. The transcript is spliced from 4 exons. Lineage: Eukaryota; Metazoa; Chordata; Leptocardii; Amphioxiformes; Branchiostomatidae.